GUUUUAUGCAUAAGGGCAGUGAAAAGUACCAAUAUUUAUGUAUAGUUGCAUGUUUUCAUAAGCGUAAAUUGGGUCCCAGGCUGAAAAGGUUUAAGAACCCCUGAUUUAGAGAUGACAUAACAACCAUUCAAUGGUGUUGUUCAUGCCUCCGCGAUACAGCUAUUUUUAUAAAAAAUAUUUUUUUAAAUAGAAGAAACAUUUUGAUGUUGCUACGGCAACCAAUUAUUUCACAGAGACGAUUUCAGAGUACUCUCGUCUGUGUGCCAAAGUGCAGAAUAAAUUAUGAAUUUACAAAUGCUCAACACCUGUUGAAUAUAGCCGGUGUCAGUAAACGUUGGCAAAAAAAAGCGUAAUUAAAUUGUUGCCAGCACGGUUACAGUCACCAACGCUCUAGAUAACAUGAAAACUGCCUAACCAGCUUUUCUACGAUGAGUAACAUGAUCAGAGUGAGGUGUUCUCCCAUUUGUGUCUGGAAGUAGCUCGCAAACUAGCCAAAUGGACAAUCUGACAACGCUCUGAAUUUACAAACGUCCAGAGCGCACUCUGAGCUGAGCGCACUCCAUAUUGAAUUUACCAACACACCACUUCUCUGAACAAAUGUGUGGAAUGUUGCUCCAGGUAUCUAGAAACUAGCCUGGGUACCAGUCUGUUUGUGCUAACAUUCCACUCGUUGUACUCUUUAUCCUAUGCCAAACAUGACUAGCUAGAAACCGAGGAUGGAGACACUUUGUUCUGCUCCUAGUCAUCUCAUCUGUCCAAAUAUAGUUAGAAUGCCCCCCUCUGUUCAAAUAUAGAUCUAUUCUCCCCCUCCGUUUAACUAUAGUUAGAAUGCCCCCCUCUGUUCAAAUAUAGGUCUAUUCUCCCCCUCCGUUUAAAUAUAGUUAGAAUGCCCCCUCUGUUCAAAUAUAGGUCUAUUCUCCCCCUCCGUUUAAAUAUAGUUAGAAUGCCCCCUCUGUUCAAAUAUAGGUCUAUUCUCCCCCUCUGUUUAAAUAUAGUUAGAAUGCCC
Long non-coding RNA from Oncorhynchus tshawytscha (Chinook salmon), 1006 nucleotides. The record is from Ensembl. NCBI's taxonomy places the organism in Eukaryota, Metazoa, Chordata, Actinopteri, Salmoniformes, Salmonidae.